RNAcentral lists this transfer RNA (76 nucleotides) under Glaesserella parasuis. RNAcentral's name for it is "tRNA-Val". The record is from RNAcentral. Lineage: Bacteria; Pseudomonadati; Pseudomonadota; Gammaproteobacteria; Pasteurellales; Pasteurellaceae.
GGAGGAUUAGCUCAGCUGGGAGAGCACCUSCCUUACAAGCAGGGGGUCGGCGGUUCGAUCCCGUCAUCCUCCACCA